CAAUAAGCGGAGGAAAAGAAACCACAGGGAUUACCUCAGUAGCGCGAGUGAAGCGGUAACAGCUCAAAUUUGAAAGCUAGCUCUUUUAGGGUUCGCAUUGUAAUUUGUAGAAGAUGCUUCGGGUGUGGCCCCGGUCUAAGUUCCUUGGAACAGGACGUCAUAGAGGGUGAGAAUCCCGUAUGUGACUGGGUGCUUUCGCUCAUGUGAAGCUCUUUCGACGAGUCGAGUUGUUUGGGAAUGCAGCUCAAAAUGGGUGGUAAAUUUCAUCUAAAGCUAAAUAUUGGCCAGAGACCGAUAGCGCACAAGUAGAGUGAUCGAAAGAUGAAAAGCACUUUGGAAAGAGAGUUAAACAGUACGUGAAAUUGUUGAAAGGGAAGCGCUUGCAACCAGACUUGCGCGCUGAUGAUCAUCCGGGCUUCUGCCCGGUGCACUCGUCUGCGCUCAGGCCAGCAUCGGUUUCGGUGGUGGGAUAAAGGCCUUGGGAAUGUAGCUUCUUUCGGGGAGUGUUAUAGCCCUCGGUGCAAUGCCGCCUACCGGGACCGAGGACCGCGCUUCGGCUAGGAUGCUGGCGUAAUGGUUGUAAGCGACCCGUCUUGAAACACGGACCAAGGAGUCUAACAUCUAUGCGAGUGUUUGGGUGUCAAACCCAUACGCGUAAUGAAAGUGAACGGAGGUGAGAACCCUUAAGGGUGCAUCAUCGACCGAUCCUGAUGUCUUCGGAUGGAUUUGAGUAAGAGCAUAGCUGUUGGGACCCGAAAGAUGGUGAACUAUGCGUGAAUAGGGUGAAGCCAGAGGAAACUCUGGUGGAGGCUCGCAGCGGUUCUGACGUGCAAAUCGAUCGUCAAAUUUGCGUAUAG
This 857-nucleotide ribosomal RNA is filed under the name Cadophora sp. Its description in RNAcentral is "partial large subunit ribosomal RNA". It matches the Rfam family "Eukaryotic large subunit ribosomal RNA", at positions 44 to 920 of the family's 3401-position model. The record is from RNAcentral. Lineage: Eukaryota; Fungi; Ascomycota; Leotiomycetes; Helotiales; Ploettnerulaceae.